Long non-coding RNA from Melanotaenia boesemani (Boeseman's rainbowfish), 93 nucleotides. RefSeq lists it as uncharacterized. The transcript is spliced from 3 exons. NCBI's taxonomy places the organism in Eukaryota, Metazoa, Chordata, Actinopteri, Atheriniformes, Melanotaeniidae. The record is from RefSeq and is a predicted model, not a curated record.
GACACAGGGGACAUGUCCCCUGCACUUUUUCAAAAGGCCGUUUUGGUCGCCUGCACUUUUUACUGUCCAAAAAACAAUUUUCUUUACAUCAAA